This 497-nucleotide ribosomal RNA is filed under the name uncultured bacterium. RNAcentral describes it as "partial 16S ribosomal RNA". It matches the Rfam family "Bacterial small subunit ribosomal RNA", at positions 28 to 507 of the family's 1533-position model. The record is from RNAcentral.
GAUGAACGCUGGCGGCGUGCCUAAUACAUGCAAGUCGAGCGAACGGACGAGAAGCUUGCUUCUCUGAUGUUAGCGGCGGACGGGUGAGUAACACGUGGAUAACCUACCUAUAAGACUGGGAUAACUUCGGGAAACCGGAGCUAAUACCGGAUGAUAUUUUGAGCCGCAUGGUUCAAAAGUGAAAGACGGUCUUGCUGUCACUUAUCGAUGGAUCCGCGCUGCAUUAGCUAGUUGGUAAGGUAACGGCUUACCAAGGCAACGAUGCAUAGCCGACCUGAGAGGGUGAUCGGCCACACUGGAACUGGGACACGGUCCAGACUCCUACGGGAGGCAGCAAUAGGGAAUCUUCCGCAGUGGGCGGAAGCCUGACGGAGCAACGCCGCGUGAGUGAUGAAGGUCUUCGGAUCGUAAAACUCUGUUAUUAGGGAAGAACAUAUGUGUAAGUAACUGUGCACAUCUUGACGGUACCUAAUCAGAAAGCCACGGCUAACUACGUG